Salvia miltiorrhiza (redroot sage) is the source of this 381-nucleotide long non-coding RNA. RefSeq lists it as uncharacterized. The transcript is spliced from 2 exons. Lineage: Eukaryota; Viridiplantae; Streptophyta; Magnoliopsida; Lamiales; Lamiaceae. The record is from RefSeq and is a predicted model, not a curated record.
AUUUCUUGUAGGCUUUGAGCAUCAGAAUGAUUAGCACUGCUAUUCCGAUUCAGAGAUAAGGUUAAACGACAGGCUUUGCCUAUACAGGUUGGCUGGCCGGUGCUGACGGGACGGAGCUGAGGCUAGAGAUAAAUUCCUAUGUUAGACUUCCGCUGUAGCAAUUACUCAUAUCAGUCUUUUGUUUUCCCAACUUAAGAUCUUCAUGUUAAAUUUCAAAUGAUAUAUCUGACCGAGCUUAGACUCUUCACUACUUAAUUUAUGCCAAUGAAUGUCGGUUGUCAGAAGCAUGAAACAAAACUUGUGAUCCAAAGGGGCAUAGCCCGACUUUCUAUCCUAUUUCGGGUUUUUACAAGGUUGUUCCUUGUUUAUUUCUAUGAAUUA